RNAcentral lists this long non-coding RNA (659 nucleotides) under Lathyrus oleraceus (garden pea). RNAcentral's name for it is "Pisum sativum (pea) long non-coding RNA (PSAT_LNC012505)". The record is from RNAcentral. Lineage: Eukaryota; Viridiplantae; Streptophyta; Magnoliopsida; Fabales; Fabaceae.
GAGAAGAUGAUGUUGAAAUAAGAAUCCUAGCAAGGUUCCAAUGAUGUAAUUCAAUUUUCUUUCUUCUUACACUGCUACCUCCUUCUUCUUCCUCUUUAGUGUUAUUUAGCAUGUAGGUGAUGUUCUUUGUGAUUGACAUUAUGUGUAUGAAUGUGUAAAGAGCUGAGAGGAUUUGAUGAGAGGGAUGAAGAUUGAGAGUUUUGUAGAGUGUUGUGAGGAUUUUAGCAGUGAUAGGAAAAUGAUUUAAGGUGAUUGAAUAUGAUGAUUUUUGUGUUCCAAUCAAUCGACCCCCCAAUUUGAGAGUGAUUAAUGAUUAUAUAAGAGUUUGAGUGUAAUCGAAUUGGGCAACUCGGGUAGAAGUUAGGGCAUAAUUUGUUCUGUUAAAGUUCACAGUGUAAGUUAGUUAAGGGUUAUAACUUUGUUAGAAUUCAGUUAAGUUAGUUGCGUAAGUUUGUUUGGUGUUUCUCAACUUUUGUUAAUUAUGUUAGGAGCUGUUAAUGAGAUGAAUGUUAAUGAAGUGAGAUGAGUUAAUGUGAAAUGCUUAGUUAGAGGGAAUUUAUGUAGUUAUGUUGUUGUUAUUGUAUUAAGUUUGAUUAUCAUUGGCUUGAGUUAUGAGUGUUAACAAUAUUGACUAGUUGUUUUUACAAUUAGAAGAAUUU